UUGUUUCAGCAGAACAUACACACUAAAAUUGGGAUAAUACUGAGAAGACUAGCAUGGCCUCUGUGCAAGGAUAACAUGGACUUUCAUAAACUGUUCCAUACUUUU
Molecule: small nuclear RNA, 105 nt
Filed under: Colobus angolensis palliatus
Lineage: Eukaryota; Metazoa; Chordata; Mammalia; Primates; Cercopithecidae
Source: RNAcentral